RNAcentral lists this ribosomal RNA (253 nucleotides) under uncultured bacterium. Its description in RNAcentral is "partial 16S ribosomal RNA". It matches the Rfam family "Bacterial small subunit ribosomal RNA", at positions 524 to 776 of the family's 1533-position model. The record is from RNAcentral.
UACGUGAGGGGCGAACGUUGUUCGGUGUCACUGGGCUUAAAGGGUGCGUAGGUGGUUGCGUAAGUCACGUGUGAAAUCCCUCGGCUUACCCGGGGAAUUGCGCGUUAUACUGCGUGACUUGAGGAUUUCAGGGGAAUGGGGAACUCCAGGUGUAGCGGUGAAAUGCGCAGAUAUCUGGGGGAAGGCCGGCGGCGAAGGCGCCAUUCUGGGAAAUUCCUGACACUGAGGCACGAAAGCGUGGGGAGCAAACAGG